This 955-nucleotide ribosomal RNA is filed under the name uncultured Acidimicrobiia bacterium. RNAcentral's name for it is "bacterial SSU rRNA". It matches the Rfam family "Bacterial small subunit ribosomal RNA", at positions 52 to 1009 of the family's 1533-position model. Lineage: Bacteria; Bacillati; Actinomycetota; Acidimicrobiia. The record is from RNAcentral.
UCCAUGCAGUCGAGCGACGCAUGCCUUAGCCCGUAAGGGCGGGUGUGACGGAGCGGCGAACGGGUGCGUAACACGUGACCAAUCUGCCCCGAAGACCGGGAUAGCCCGGGGAAACCCGGAUUAAUACCGGAUGAUCUCACCAUCACGCAUGUGGAGGUGAGCAAAGGUUCAGGCGCUUCGGGAUGAGGUCGCGGCCCAUCAGCUUGUUGGUGAGGUAACGGCUCACCAAGGCAAUGACGGGUAGCUGGUCUGAGAGGACGAUCAGCCACACUGGAACUGAGAUACGGUCCAGACUCCUACGGGAGGCAGCAGGAGGGAAUCUUGCGCAAUGGGCGAAAGCCUGACGCAGCGACGCCGCGUGGGGGAUGAAUGCCUUAGGGUUGUAAACCCCUUUCACGAGGGAAGAAACUGACGGUACCUCGAGAAGAAGCCCCGGCCAACUACGUGCCAGCAGCCGCGGUAAUACGUAGGGGGCGAGCGUUGUCCGGAUUUAUUGGGCGUAAAGGGCUCGUAGGCGGCUUGGCAAGUCGGCCGUGAAAACCCAGGGCUCAACUCUGGGACGCCGGUCGAUACUGCCAUGGCUAGGGUCCGGUAGAGGGGAAUGGAAUUCCCGGUGUAGCGGUGAAAUGCGCAGAUAUCGGGAGGAACACCAGUAGCGAAGGCGGUUCCCUGGGCCGGCACCGACGCUGAGGAGCGAAAGCGUGGGGAGCAAACAGGAUUAGAUACCCUGGUAGUCCACGCCGUAAACGUUGGGUACUAGGCGUGGCGUCUUAUCAACGGAUGCCGUGCUCGAAGCUAACGCGUUAAGUACCCCGCCUGGGGAGUACGGCCGCAAGGCUAAAACUCAAAGGAAUUGACGGGAGCCCGCACAAGCGGCGGAGCAUGCGGCUUAAUUUCGAUGCAACCCGAAGAACCUUACCUGGGCUUGACAUCGCGGGAAAAGCCUUGGAAACAA